AGGCAGCAGUGGGGAAUAUUGGACAAUGGGCGAAAGCCUGAUCCAGCAAUGCCGCGUGAGUGAAGAAGGCCUUCGGAUUGUAAAGCACUUUCGGCGGGGACGAUGAUGACGGUACCCGCAGAAGAAGCCCCGGCUAACUUCGUGCCAGCAGCCGCGGUAAUACGAAGGGGGCUAGCGUUGCUCGGAAUGACUGGGCGUAAAGGGCGCGUAGGCGGAUUGUACAGUCAGACGUGAAAUUCCUGGGCUCAACCUGGGGACUGCGUUUGAGACGUAUAGUCUUGAGUGAGGAAGAGGGUUGUGGAAUUCCCAGUGUAGAGGUGAAAUUCGUAGAUAUUGGGAAGAACACCGGUGGCGAAGGCGGCAACCUGGUCCUUGACUGACGCUGAGGCGCGAAAGCGUGGGGAGCAAACAGGAUUAGAUACCCUGGUAG
RNAcentral lists this ribosomal RNA (430 nucleotides) under uncultured bacterium. Its description in RNAcentral is "bacterial SSU rRNA". It matches the Rfam family "Bacterial small subunit ribosomal RNA", at positions 346 to 793 of the family's 1533-position model. The record is from RNAcentral.